This 74-nucleotide transfer RNA is filed under the name Caudoviricetes sp. RNAcentral's name for it is "tRNA-Asn". It matches the Rfam family "tRNA". From Rfam's summary of the family: Transfer RNA (tRNA) molecules are approximately 80 nucleotides in length. Lineage: Duplodnaviria; Heunggongvirae; Uroviricota; Caudoviricetes. The record is from RNAcentral.
GGGAACGUAGCUCAGUUGGCAGAGCUUUUGAUAAUUACUUCAAAAGGUCGCAGGUUCGAGUCCUGUCGUUCCAA